Fundulus heteroclitus (mummichog) is the source of this 615-nucleotide long non-coding RNA. RefSeq lists it as uncharacterized. The transcript has 3 exons. NCBI's taxonomy places the organism in Eukaryota, Metazoa, Chordata, Actinopteri, Cyprinodontiformes, Fundulidae. The record is from RefSeq and is a predicted model, not a curated record.
UGUUAAAUAAAGGUUAAAUAAAAUAAAAUUGAAAAUAUGCUAGAGAAAUACACAAAGCAUGAGGCAAAAUCACUGUAAUUUUUCUUCUGUCUCUAUCAUGGUCCAGGUCUGUCGGUGUGUAUUUGUGAAUGUGUAAUUUCUCCUUCUGAACCGAGAACCUCUCAUGUCAUGGCUGAUCUGCAGAAGCACACACGUCCCUAAUUCCCUCGUUUGACUGCUAAGAAUACAAGAAGCUGCAGGUAGAGGUCAGCUUUGCCUUCCAAGCCAACUCAGGAUUCUUAUCACCCACAGCAUGAUUGUCCGCUGUAGCUCUGUUGUCCCCCAACUUCAUCUCCCUGCCUAAUCUCCAGCUUUCAAUUUGCUCACUGUUUGGACCUCUGUUCUAACUAGCUCCACUCUCAAUGGUAAGAUGCCAAAGUGAAAGACGGAGCUGGAGCAGCCAGCACAGGGCCCCUUUUCCCAAGAAGAGAGCAAAAUCUGGACUGAAACCGCCUGCUGCAUGCCGGGGACUCGACUACGACCCGGGUCCAACCACCACAUUUCUGCUAGCCGCAAAACCACAUGCCCACUGCUUUUCCUGGAGUACUGCUUUCCCUUGGAUGCCCAAAGUGAACC